CCAGAGAACUUAGCAGAGAUGCUUUGGUGCCUUCGGGAACUCUGAGACAGGUGCUGCAUGGCUGUCGUCAGCUCGUGUUGUGAAAUGUUGGGUUAAGUCCCGCAACGAGCGCAACCCUUAUCCUUUGUUGCCAGCGGUUCGGCCGGGAACUCAAAGGAGACUGCCAGUGAUAAACUGGAGGAAGGUGGGGAUGACGUCAAGUCAUCAUGGCCCUUACGAGUAGGGCUACACACGUGCUACAAUGGCGCAUACAAAGAGAAGCGACCUCGCGAGAGCAAGCGGACCUCAUAAAGUGCGUCGUAGUCCGGAUUGGAGUCUGCAACUCGACUCCAUGAAGUCGGAAUCGCUAGUAAUCGUAGAUCAGAAUGCUACGGUGAAUACGUUCCCGGGCCUUGUACACACCGCCCGUCACACCAUGGGAGUGGGUUGCAAAAGAAGUAGGUAGCUUAACCUUCGGGAGGGCGCUUACCACUUUGUGAUUCAUGACUGGGGUGAAGUCGUAACAAGGUAAGCGUACGUGU
RNAcentral lists this ribosomal RNA (521 nucleotides) under uncultured bacterium. Its description in RNAcentral is "bacterial SSU rRNA". It matches the Rfam family "Bacterial small subunit ribosomal RNA", at positions 988 to 1509 of the family's 1533-position model. The record is from RNAcentral.